This 427-nucleotide ribosomal RNA is filed under the name uncultured bacterium. RNAcentral's name for it is "bacterial SSU rRNA". It matches the Rfam family "Bacterial small subunit ribosomal RNA", at positions 355 to 774 of the family's 1533-position model. The record is from RNAcentral.
UGGGGAAUUUUGGACAAUGGGCGAAAGCCUGAUCCAGCAAUGCCGCGUGCAGGAUGAAGGCCUUCGGGUUGUAAACUGCUUUUGUACGGAACGAAAAAGCUUCUCCUAAUACGAGAGGCCCAUGACGGUACCGUAAGAAUAAGCACCGGCUAACUACGUGCCAGCAGCCGCGGUAAUACGGAGGGUGCGAGCGUUAAUCGGAAUUACUGGGCGUAAAGCGUGCGCAGGCGGUUAUGUAAGACAGAGGUGAAAUCCCCGGGCUCAACCUGGGAACUGCAUUUGGGACUGCAUGGCUAGAGUACGGGAGAGGGGGAUGGAAUUCCGCGUGUAGCCGUGAAAUGCGUAGAUAUGCGGAGGAACACCGAUGGCGAAGGCAAUCCCCUGGACCUGUACUGACGCUCAUGCACGAAAGCGUGGGGAGCAAACA